This 11211-nucleotide long non-coding RNA is filed under the name Malus domestica (apple). RNAcentral describes it as "long non-coding RNA (MDOM_LNC001375)". Lineage: Eukaryota; Viridiplantae; Streptophyta; Magnoliopsida; Rosales; Rosaceae. The record is from RNAcentral.
UUCCAUGGUGAACAAAACAGCCAAAGCCAAUUUGCUAGCAAUAGCCACCUCCUUCACUUUCCUUCUCUUUUAUCCUACUCCAAAAUCCUCCUACCACUCUCUCUUCAUUUCCGAUUCGCUUUCAGACAAUGCCUCCAUAUCUCACCACCUCUACACCCUCACCCGCCGGCCCCAUGUGGCAGGCCUUGAAGCCAACGCCGAAGCUGCAGCUUAUGUCCUCUCCGUUUUCGCUUCCUCCAAUAUCAAAUCCCACAUUGCCCCUUACCGUGUGGCCUUGCAUUAUCCGGUGUCACGCUCCUUAACACUCACGCCGUCACCACAAGAAUCCCCUAUCAGUUUCUGUCUUGAGCAAGAAAUCUAUGAGGGUGAUCCUUAUGCUGAUGUAGCACAUGAAGUCCUGCCCACUUUUCAUGCUUAUGCAAAGUCAGGAAAUGUCACUGCCCCUGUGGUUUAUGUCAAUUAUGGACGUUCGGAGGACUAUGCAAGAUUAGAACAAAUGGGAGUAAAUGUUUCGGGUUCGAUUGUGUUGGCAAAGUAUGGAAAAAUUUAUAGAGGGGGCAUUGUGCAGAUUGCAUAUGAGGCAGGUGCUGUAGGGGUUCUAGUGUAUUCAGAUAGGAAGGACUAUGGCGGUGGUGGAGGUGAGGCAAAGUGGUUUCCGGAUAAUAAGUGGUUGCCACCAAGCGGGGUUCAAGUGGGAUCAGUUUACAAUGGACUUGGUGACCCAACAACACCAGGAUGGGCAAGUACUGAAGAGUGUGAGAGGCUUUCGGAUGAUGAGGUGGAGAAGUCAGGGGAUGUUCCAUUGAUUCCUUCCCUUCCAAUUUCAGCAGUAGAUGGAGAAACCAUUUUGAGGUCUAUCGGAGGGCCAGUUGCAGAUGAGGAUUGGCAAGGGAGUGAAGAUGCCCCAACUUACAACGUUGGACCAGGUCCCGGGAUUGUUCAUCUCAGUUACACAGUAAGUCUCAAAUCAAGUUUUAAGUGAAGCAAUUUCAUGUGUUUUGUAUAUUCUUACACGCAUUGUAUGUAUAUAUUGUUGUGCUAGGAUAGCACCAAACCUUUUAGAACCAACUCUUUGUAACCCACAGAAAAUAUAUCAAAUGAAAUGCAAGAACAAUAUAGAAAAAACACCAAGAUUUUAACGAGGUUCCUCCACAGUCAGUGUAACUGGAGUACGUCCUCGGAGCAGUAGGAGCUCACCCAAUAAUCCACUAUCAACUAAAUGGGAGUUUACAAAGUGUUGGCAAUCUCACAACCCAAAAGCCCAAUACACCCAAUAGCUCUCACACACCAAAGAAACAAAUAGAGAAAGAAAUAUAAUGAAUAAUUUCUUCUCUAUACAUAUAGUUUAAAGCUAUUACAACAACAAUUACUUUGGUGGAUGAUUACUAACCAAUUGAAACAACAACUUGUUCUUCUUUUUGGGCUCUCUGCAAGACUGCAACUCUCUGAAUUUUCUCUCUAUUUUUUCUCCUCUAAAACAAAAGGGCAGUAGCUCUCUUCUCUCUCUCUCUCUCUACCACACAACCGAAUGGAAGAAAGCAACCAAACCCUCCAUUAUUAAGGAGCCAAAACUCACGGGUGGUAAACAAAAAAAAAGCAACCCAUAUUUUCUUCCCCAAAACAAGGAAACAUGUUGUCCACUUUUGGUUUGUUUAUUCUAAAGUAUAUGGCCACUUGGCCACAUAAUCCAACAAUCUCCACCUUGGCCAAGUUCCGAAAACGUCAUGAUAAGCCAACCAACACAAUUAGCACACAACAUCACUCCCAAACACUAGCAAGAGAACAACUCAUGCCGAGCCAAAUGCUCCAAAACUCCUACUGCUCAACGCCUUCUUUAAAUAGGCAAAAUGCGAGCCAAGUUCAAGCAAUGAACAAACUUGGCUACACCAACAACCUUAGUCAACAUAUCAGCAGGGUUGUCUUUAGUUGGAAUCUUCUGGAGAAUGAUUUCCCCUUCACCAACAAUUUCACGAACAAAGUGAUAACGCACAUCUAUGUGCUUGGUCCUCGCAUGAUGAACCUGAUACUUAGCCAAAUAAAUGGCACUCUGACUAUCACAAUGUACCUCCACCUGCUUCUGAUCAACCCCCAAAUCUCUAAUAAGCCCAUGUAUCCAAAUGGCCUCCUUUAUAGCUUCAGCAACUGCCAUAUAUUCAGCCUCUGUAGUAGACAAGGCAACAGACGACUGCAAAAUGGACCUCCAACAAACUGGCCCUUUAGCCAUAGUAAAACACAUAGCCUGUAGUAGACUUCCUUCCAUCCAGAUCACCUGCAUAAUCUGAAUCAACAUAACCAACAGCAAAAUGACUAAUACCAGAGUCAUCCCUCUCAAAGCAUAAACCAACAUCUCGAGUACCAUGGAGAUAUCUCAAUAUCCACUUAGCUGCUUGCCAAUGCUUUUUACCUGGAUUAUGCAUAUAUCGACUCACCAUGCCAACUGCAUGAGCAAUAUCCGGUCUAGAGCAUACCAUUGCAUACAUCAAACUACCAACCAAAUUUGCAUAUGGUAUAUUUUUCAUUUGCAGCUUCUCUUUAUCAGUUUUAGGACACUGUAGAGAACUCAAUUUAAAAUGAGGAGCCAAAGGGGUACUAACCGGUUUUGGUUGAAUCAUGAACUCCAAACUUCCGGAUCAACUUCUCAAGGUAUUGUCUUUUGAUUCAAACUGACCAAACCCUUCUCUCUAUUUCUAGUGAUCUCCAUGCCAAGGAUCUUCUUCGCUUCACCAAGAUCCUUCAUCUCAAACUCGUUCUUCAUUUGUUUCUUCAAUUUCUCAAUCUCUUCAACAUUCUUUGAGGCAAUCAACAUAUCAUCAACAUAUAUCAAUAAAUAAAUGAAAGACCCAUCUUGCAACUUCUUGAAGUACACACAAUGAUCAUAUUGACUUCUAGAAUAAUUUUGGCCUCUCAUAAAUUUAUCAAACCUCAAAUACCAUUGCCUUGGAGAUUGCUUCAAGCCAUAAAGUGAUUUCUUCAAUUUGCAAAACAAAUUUUCCUUCCCUUUCACUAUAUACCCAUCCGGUUGACACAUAUAGAUCUCUUCAUUCAAAUCACCAUGUAGGAAAGCCGUCUUCACAUCAAGUUGCACAAGCUCAAGAUCAUAUUGUGCAACAAGAGCUAACAUAAUACGAAUUGAGGAGUGCUUCACAACUGGAGAAAAUAUUUCAUUGUAGUCAAUGCCCUCCUUUUGUGCAUACCAUUUAGCAACUAAUCUUGCUUUAAAUCUCACAUUGCUUUUCUCAUCAGCAUCUUCCUUCUUGGCAUACACCCAUUUGCAACCGAUAGCUUUCUUGCCCUUAGGCAAUUUAGCUAACUCCCAAGUCUUGUUCUUCAAGAGAGAAUUCAUCUCAUCACCCAUGGCAUUGCACCACCUCUUCUUCUCCUCACUCUCAAUGGCUUCCUCAUAAUUGGAUGGAAUCUCUUCAGUGAUAAUAGGAAGAGCAAAAGCAACAUAAUCACUAUACCGAGCUGGCUUGGUAAUUUGUCUCUUUCCUCUGUUCUUGGCAAUAGACUCUUGAGGUGAGACUUGCUCUUCAACUUGAAUAGAAUCUUCAAGUUCAACUUCUUCAACAUCCUCAUAGUCUCCAACUUCUUCACUUGUAGUGGCUUCGACAUCAGCGGAAAUAAGAUUUGAAGUACCAUAGGCAACUUUCUCAAGCUCCACCUGUUGGACACCUUUCACAUUCUUCUCAGAGUCUUUGAACAUACUUUCUUCAUCAAAUGUCACAUCUCUGUUGAUUACAAGUUUUUUCAUCUCUGGGCACCACAACCUGUAACCUUUGACACCACUACUAAAACCAAGAAAGAUAGCCUUUUUGGCUUUAGGAUCAAGUUUAUUUUCAGUCACAUGAAAAUAAGCAGGUGAACCAAAAAUACGGAUAUAGUCAUAAUCAGAAGAAGGUUUUCCAGUCCAUACCUUCAUUGGUGUCUUACCCUGAAUAGCAGCUGAGGGUAACCGGUUGAUGAUGUGACAUGCAUAAUUAACUGCUUCUGCCCAAAAUGACUUGCUCAAACCCGACUGAGACAACAUACAUCUAACCUUCUCAAGCAAGGUUCGAUUCAAUCUUUCUGCAACUCCAUUUUGUUGUGGAGUUCCCCGAACACUGAAAUGUCUCACAAUUCCUUCCUCUUUGCAAACUUUAAAGAAAGGAUCGGAUGUGUAUUCACCACCAUUAUCCGAUCUCAAAAUCUUAAUCUUUCUCCCAGUCUGGUUCUCAACCAUUUUCUUCCAACCCAAGAAAAUGUUUAACACCUCACUCUUGUGCUUCAUAGUGUAGACCCAAGACCUUCUUGAAUAAUCAUCAACAAAGGUCACAAACCAAUGUCUACCACUCAAAGAGGGAGUCUUUGUAGGACCCCAAACAUCUGAAUGCACAUAAUCAAGAAUGUCAUUCGUCUGAUGUACAGCAGUACCAAACUUCACUCUAGUUUGCUUCCCCAAGACACAAUGCUCGCAGAAAUCAAGCUUACAAGUCGUGGCAACCUUUUAGAAGACCUUGUUUCACAAGCCCUUGUAGAGCUUUCUCACCGGCAUGGCCUAAUCUCUCAUAUGCCACAAUCUAGUAGUAUCUGAAUCAGAUGUGCCCAUAUUUUCAGAGACUACAUAUGCUUCACCUGUCACAGUGCUUCCCUGCAAUAAAUACAAAUGGCCACAUCUAGGAGCUUUCAUCACAACAAGUGCACCAUAAGUAACUUUCAAUGUCUGUCCAUCUGAAUGAAACCUGAAACCCUUGGAUUCCAAAAGUACCCAAAGAAAUAAGAUUUUUCUUCAAAUUCGGUACAUACCGAACACCUGUCAACUCUUUAACCAUGCCAUCAUGCAACUUCAAACGAACUGUACCAAUCCCUUUUGUUGUGCAAGGAUUGUCAUCUCCCAUGAACACAACACCGCCAUCAAACUCUUUCAAGCUUGAAAACCAAUCCUUGUGAGGAGUCAUAUGAUGAGUACAACCCGUAUCCAACACCCACUUAGUAGCACAAUCAAAUGAUGAGGAAGUGGUUAAAGCAAAAUCAGAAAAAUCUGUUUCAACCUCAGCAACAUUAGCUUCAGAACUUUCUUUGCCCUUGGUCUUCAAUUUAGGACAAUCUUUCUUCCAAUGGCCCUUAUUACGACAAAAGGCACAUUCAUCCAUUUCCAAAGGUUUUCUACCUUUAGAGUUUCCUCUAGGUCGAGACUGUGAUUUUUUCCUGCUAGAAGAUGACCUCCUCUCCGAUGAUCUACCUCUAACAAAUAAAGCUUCAGAGGUACUAUCAUGAUUUUUAUCUUUAUGCCUCAUUUCAUAAUUCAUCAAGGCAUUUGACACAUCUUCAAAUUUCACAGUUUUCUUUACCAUGCAUAAUAGUGGUAACAAAAUGCUCAUAAGAGUCCGGCAAGGAAUUCAACAAUAUUAAGGCCUUAUCUUCAUCCUUAAUAUCCUCAUCUAAAUUUAACAAGUCGGCAAUCAACUUAUUAAAAGCAUCAAGGUGUCUAAUCAUUUUUGUACCUUCUUUGUAUUGGAAGCGGUAUAGCUUUUUCUUCAAGUGUAGCCGGUUCUCUGCACUCUUCGUCAUAUACUUGUCUUCCAAUUUUUGCCACAACACACUUGCUACCGUCUCCCGCAUCACAAAAUACUUCUGAGUUUUUGCAAGGCACAACCGAAUUGAAGAGCAAGCCCACAAAUUUAAUUUCUCCAAUUCCGGCUUCGACAUAGUUUCCGGUUUCUCUCCCAACGCGGCAAGUAGAUCUUGUUGAGCCAACACAUCUUUGACCUCACAUUGCCACAUCCCGAAGUUGUUUGUGCCAUCAAACUUUUCCACUUCGAACUUUGCAUUUUGCACCGUCGUUCUUGCAAACCCGGAGCUGCUUCCAAAAGGAUUUUCAUCUUGCCCGUCUGACAUCUUUGGCAACUAGACAGUACCCAAGAGCAACCAGUGCUCUGAUACCAAUUGUUGUGCUAGGAUAGCACCAAACCUUUUAGAACCAACUCUUUGUAACCCACAGAAAAUAUCAAAUGAAAUGCAAGAACAAUAUAGAAAAGACACCAAGAUUUUAACGAGGUUCCUCCACAGUCAGUGUAACUGGAGUACGUCCUCGGAGCAGUAGGAGCUCACCCAAUAAUCCACUAUCAACUAAAUGGGAGUUUACAAAGUGUUGGCAAUCUCACAACCCAAAAGCCCAAUACACCCAAUAGCUCUCACACACCAAAGAAACAAAUAGAGAAAGAAAUAUAAUGAAUAAUUUCUUCUCUAUACAUAUAGUUCAAAGCUAUUACAACAACAAUUACUUUGGUGGAUGAUUACUAACCAAUUGAAACAACAACUUGUUCUUCUUUUUGGGCUCUCUGCAAGACUGCAACUCUCUGAAUUUUCUCUCUAUUUUUUCUCCUCUAAAACAAAAGGGCAGUAGCUCUCUUCUCUCUCUCUCUCUCUACCACACAACCGAAUGGAAGAAAGCAACCAAACCCUCCAUUAUUAAGGAGCCAAAACUCACGGGUGGUAAACAAAAAAAAAGCAACCCAUAUUUUCUUCCCCAAAACAAGGAAACAUGUUGUCCACUUUUGGUUUGUUUAUUCUAAAGUAUAUGGCCACUUGGCCACAUAAUCCAACAUAUAUAUGAUACAGCAUGCUAUAUUUGUAUUCAUUUUGGAUAUUGGUUUCAGGGGAAGCAAGUCAUAGGGAGAAUUGAGAAUGUGAUUGGUGUCAUAGAAGGAGCAGAGGAACCUGACCGGUAUGUUUGAAAAAUUUCAGCUAGAAGUCUUGAAUUUUAGUAUCAGCAUCAUUCUGAUUUGAAUGUGAGCACUUCUACCUUAGCAUGAUUAUUACUCCUUUGCCAAAACUAUGUAGAUUGGUCAUUCUGGGUAAUCACCGGGAUGCAUGGACAUUUGGAGCCGUUGACCCAAAUAGUGGCACUGCAGCACUGCUAGAGGUAAUUGAGGAUUUGAAUUAUGUAUCGUCAUCAAGUUCCUUCAUAACAAGGAAAACUUAGCAGAAGCUACUUUUGAUGUGUAAUGUAGGUUGCCCAAAGAUUAGGGAAGCUGCAGAAAAAAGGGUGGAAACCUCGACGUACGAUUGUCUUGUGCAAUUGGGAUGCAGAGGAAUACGGCCUGGUCUCUCAUUUUCUCCCUCUUUCUAUCUUUUGUGCGUGUGUAUCAAAUUUAUAUCUAUUUUUCUAUAUCUGAAGUUUUAAACUAAACACGAACAGAUAGGAUCAACUGAAUGGGUAGAAGAAAACAGGGAAAUGCUAGCUUCAAGGGCUAUUGCAUACUUGAAUGUUGACAGUGGAGUACACGGUCCAGGAUUCUUCGCCUCUGCAACUCCGCAGCUUGAUGAACUUCUUAAACAAGCUACUGAACAGGUACAGCGAAAUAUUAUUGAUAUGCUCACCCUGCUUGUGCAUAUGGUAAUGGGGUAGCAAAAUAUGGUGUGCUACAUAUACGUGGGUGCUUAAUAUGAUUUAGAGUUCCAAUUUUUUCUUCUGUUUUCUGUCAUAAAUUUCUCACCCAUCUCAAUCAUAUUCAAAAUUGACCCUUGAAGGUUAAAGACCCAGAUAACUCAUCACAAACUCUUUACCAAUCGUGGGUUGGUUCCAGAACUUCGCCUAAGGUAAGAAAUUGCUUCACCGAACUCCUCCAUAUAGAAUUUCAAUGAAAUUCCAGAAGGGCAUCAUGCCGGUGAUAAAAAAAAAAAAAACAGUACAAUUUCUGUCUAACCAGUAAUCAGAAGUAUUGCACUAAUUUACCAUAGAAAAAUGUUGGAAGAUGAUUUUCAACAAAUGGAUUUUAAAAUCUUGAUGAGCAUGUUAUUGCUAAAAAUCUAUAUUUUGCAUACAAAGAUUGACAGGUUGGGAAGUGCGGGAUCAGAUUUUGCAGCUUUUGUUCACCAUCUUGGAAUUCCGGCAACUCACAUGGCUUUCGGUGAAGGUAACAUAUUAGACGUGACCUAAGCUCUCAAACCAUGUUGCCACUAAAAAAAAAUAAACAUUAUGCUUUUAAUUACUAAGAAACAUAUCUAACAUUGCAGGAUACCCAGUGUACCAUUCAAUGUAUGAUGACUUUAUAUGGGUGAAGAAAUUUGGUGAUCCGAUGUUUCAUAGGCAUGUUGCAGGUCAGCCUUUACGAUUUCUCUCUUAACUGAACACAUCUCAGACAAUUCUACUUACACCCCCCUUGACAAUUUAAUUCAAGCACCUAGAUUGAAUUGAUUGGUGUCGAUCACAGUUGCAAGUGUGUGGGGUUUGGUAACUCUUUGGCUCGCAGAUGCAGAACUUUUGCCUUUUAAUUAUCUCUCGUACGCAAUGGAGCUACAGGUACGGAAAACAUUUUCUUCUAAUCAACAACUACAUGCACUCUGGAAAUUAUAAAAUGUAUCAGUUACGGGAGACACUUGUACAAAAAUAAUAUAUUGAAACUCUGAAUGCCAGACUUAUGCGAAUGACUUGGAAGAUGAUAUUUCGGACACGAACAUAAACCUAACCCCUCUGUUGAAGUCCAUUGAAGAGCUCAAAAGAGCAGCCACAGAAAUAAACAACGAGAGAAAGGUAUCGAUUGAGUUUCCUAUUACUCGUGAUCAAACACUUUCAUUUCUUAUGAGUACAGAACUGAACCAUGAUUCUCCAGGAAAUAGAACAAAACAAAGGUUGGCUGUUGACAUGGAAGAAAGAUCAUGUGAAGGUGAGAGAGCUGAAUGACAGACUAAUGAUGGCAGAGCGUGCAUUUACAGAUCAAGACGGACUAUUUGGAAGGUCAUGGUAUAAGCAUUUGGUAUGUUCCUUACAAAUCGUCAUGAAUAUUGUACUAAAGUUGUUUCCGUUGCUCUUUCAUUUGCGUUCAACCAUCUCUCAAAAGCGUUUUGUUUUCCUCACGUAGUAAUCUCGGAUUUUGAUUGUUACAAGAUGGACUAAUUGGUAUGGUACUUUUGCAGAUUUAUGGGCCUUCGAAGUAUGACGACUAUGCGUCGGAAUCCUUCCCUGGCAUAUAUGAUGCUAUUGCAAAGGCGAAAAUUUCGAACACCGCAGAGUCAUGGAAAUUUGUACAGCAUGAAGUUUAUAGGGUCUCCAGAGCUGUGAAACAUGCAUCACAAAUCAUCAAUGGCGAACUAACAUGACAAACAUCAGUAACAAACAACUACAUGUAUUUCCCCUACUUCCAAUCAAACACGUGUGAAGUUUUUUUUUAUUUUGGAAAUGUGUUCGAUGUGUUUGUCACUGAAAAUAUUGCAAACAUCUUUUGAAAAAUAAUGUGAGAGAGAGAGAGAGAGAGAGAGAGAGAGAGAGUACUGCGCACUUUGAAGUGAGAUAAAAAGAAAAUGCUACAGAUCAAUGUAAAUAUGUGGGUUGGAGUUGUAGUUGGCCUACCAUAAAUAUUGAGAGUUAAAUAUCUCAACCACACAACAUCUUGGAGUCGAACCUAAAACCAUUUCAUUUCUAAUACGAAUAAAGGGGAAUACUCAUUAACAAUUAAACAUGGUUUUCAAGCAGCUUUCUUGCAUUUUGGAGCCCAAAAGAAUCAGCAUUUUUUCUGGUGUGAAGAACUAGACAAGUUUUUGUUUUCACAAAAAACCUAUUCAAGUUUUUGGUUAUCUUCUAACUUUCAUCUAUUUGACCAUCUUCGAAUUCCAGCAACUCACAUCAAGUUUAUAGGGUCUCGUGGCAUGCACACAUGUGCUUGGAGAUUGAUUGAAUCAUUAUUUUGAUCACUUAUUUUUAAAAUCAAUCAAUGUCGUUCUUAACAUUUAUUAAAAUAAGUUAAUUUGAUCAUUUCUUUUACGUUUAGAUGUAUAAAUUUAAGAUUACUAAGGAAUUUUAAAAUGAUGGUAAUUGAAUUGAUGAGAUUUUAUUUUCUAGAAUUUGUGAAUUUUCUUGUUUGGUUAACCUAAAAGAACAAUGAAAUUGAAUACGGAAUUUAUUAUUUUUAAACUCUCAAUCAUAGAAAUUGGGAAAUGACACUUAUUUACAUGGAAUUUAAACUUGAGAAUUGGAGGUCCUAAAUUCCAAGUUUUUUUUCCAUGCGAAAAUUCUAAAUUUUUAUGUUUAUGAAUCCAAACAAAAGAAUUGAUGAAUGUCAAUUUAUAAAUUUUAACUUUUAUCCAAAUUCCAAGUUUAUUUUCCUCAUCAACUAUUAUGUUAGUGUAUUGAAGUGGCACAAAUGUAGAAAUCACAAAUUCAAUAAAAUGAUGUCACAAAAAUUACACCAAAAUAACAACGGUUUAUUCAAUUUAAUAAAUAAUGGAUUAAAAUGAUUUGACAAAAUUGAAAGUAUUUAUGUCAUUUUCUCCUUAUUUAACGGAAAUUUUUAACGGAAUGACUAAAGCAAUUAAUAGCGGACAAAUUCAAAAAUCAAUUAUAUAUAUUUCAAAUCUUAGGGAUUAGAGUGAGGAGUUAGGUCAAUUUGAAUGACCAUUUUAACUAAUAAGUCAUUAUCUAAUGUUGAGAUUGUUGUGUUAAUCUUAAAGGUUUCCGAAUGAGGAUCCUCCAAUUGUAUUAGUUCAUCGUAUAUCGUAUGAUCAUAAAUUAUUUUAAAUUAUUUUAUUUAAAAUUGAAUAUAAACAAUUCAUAAUAAAAACUGAUCGCAUAAUAUAUGAUUAACAGACACGAUUAAAAUUCAAGAGGAUUCAAAGAGAUACUCAUUCACAUCGCCAAUGGCCUUUGAGAUUGAUUGAACCGAUCCUUACUUUUAAAAUCAAUCACGGUCAUCAUUUUGGUCCCUUUACUUUUUAUCGCCAAUGGUUUAGUCCUUUUUUUUUUUUUUUUUUUGGGUGAAAAAUGGUUUAGUCCUUUUGCUGUUGACAUAUCCAGUAGCAAACCACCGGCUUCCGAAUUCCCCAUUUCGCCAAUAAUGUAAUAAAAAAUUAAAGCUUUCCCUAAUCACCAUCUAAUACACGACUGCCCUAUGAUUAAUCCAAUGCCAUCAUCCGCAUACAGGAUUAUUACAUAUUAAACUCCAUGAUUAUCCAAACGGCUGCAGCAGCCACUCUGCUGACCGCCAUAGCCACCACUUUCACCUUCCAUCUCAUUUCUCCAACCCCAAAAUCCUUCUACCACUCUCUCUUCACAUCCCCCUCACUUUCAGACAAUGCUUCUAUCUCUCACCACCUCCACACCCUCACCCGUCGCCCCCAUGUGGCCGGCCAAGAAGCCAAUGCCGAGGCCGCCGCCUACGUCCUCUCCGUCUUCACCUCCUCCAACAUCAAAACCCACAUCGCCCCAUACCAAGUUGCCCUCACUUACCCUGUCUCCCG